Small nucleolar RNA from Budorcas taxicolor (takin), 80 nucleotides. RefSeq annotates it as small nucleolar RNA U2-19. Lineage: Eukaryota; Metazoa; Chordata; Mammalia; Artiodactyla; Bovidae. The transcript has a single exon. The record is from RefSeq and is a predicted model, not a curated record.
AAUCGGUGAUGACAGUGGCCAAAUCCGAGCAUCAGAAGACCACCCAGUGUUCCUGAUGCAUGAUCUCUGUGGUUCUGAGA